This is a long non-coding RNA of Pieris napi, 1016 nucleotides long. RefSeq lists it as uncharacterized. The record is from RefSeq and is a predicted model, not a curated record. NCBI's taxonomy places the organism in Eukaryota, Metazoa, Arthropoda, Insecta, Lepidoptera, Pieridae. The transcript is spliced from 8 exons.
AACAAAAUCAUUACAUAGUUGGAGAUAAUGCACUUCUAGUUAAUAAUACAUAUCAAGGCCACUUGCAAGUUCAUGAAGUAGCGGGAAUGAAGUCACUGCAUUCAACAAUGUACAUGAUAGUAUAUUAUGUAGAGUCAAUCAAUAUUCAGGAACUAGUAUACUGGUGUUCGAUUACGAAUCUAGAGGAGAUCUGUAUGAUGUCUUACUUCGGGAAUAAUCCGUGAACUCAUUUUAAUAUCGUGAUAUUUUUUUAGCGCUUUGAACGGUAGAAGAUAAAUCGACACUGCUGAAUGAAUUGAAACCGCAGAAUAAACCUACACUGGGGAAUAAAUCGACACAGCUGGAUAAAGCGCUUUGAACGGUAGAAGAUAAAUCGACACUGCUGAAUGAAUUGAAACCGCAGAAUAAACCUACACUGGGGAAUAAAUCGACACAGCUGGAUAAAGCGCUUUGAACGGUAGAAGAUAAAUCGACACUGCUGAAUGAAUUGAAACCGCAGAAUAAACCUACACUGGGGAAUAAAUCGACACAGCUGGAUAAAGCGCUUUGAACGGUAGAAGAUAAAUCGACACUGCUGAAUGAAUUGAAACCGCAGAAUAAACCUACACUGGGGAAUAAAUCGACACAGCUGGAUAAAGCGCUUUGAACGGUAGAAGAUAAAUCGACACUGCUGAAUGAAUUGAAACCGCAGAAUAAACCUACACUGGGGAAUAAAUCGACACAGCUGGAUAAAGCGCUUUGAACGGUAGAAGAUAAAUCGACACUGCUGAAUGAAUUGAAACCGCAGAAUAAACCUACACUGGAGAAUAAAUCGACACAGCUGGAUAAAGCGCUUUGAACGGUAGAAGAUAAAUCGACACUGCUGAAUGAAUUGAAACCGCAGAAUAAACCUACACUGGAGAAUAAAUCGACACAGCUGGAUAAAGCGCUUUGAACGGUAGAAGAUAAAUCGACACUGCUGAAUGAAUUGAAACCGCAGAAUAAACCUACACUGGGGAAUAAAUCGACACAGCUGG